This is an RNA transcript of Lotus japonicus, 1258 nucleotides long. It is a transcript of the gene named 60S ribosomal protein L5-like, with no coding region annotated. NCBI's taxonomy places the organism in Eukaryota, Viridiplantae, Streptophyta, Magnoliopsida, Fabales, Fabaceae. The record is from RefSeq and is a predicted model, not a curated record. The transcript has 10 exons.
CCCAAAACAAUCCCAUAUAAACCAUACUUGACAAACCCUAAAUCCCUCUCAGCCUCUUUUCCAUCACUGUCGGGAAGGCAUCGAGCUGCAGCAACAAUGGUGUUCGUGAAGUCCCAGAAAUCUAGGGCCUACUUCAAGAGAUACCAAGUUAAGUUCAAGAGAAGAAGAGAGGGCAAGACCGAUUACCGUGCCCGGAUCCGGUUGAUUAACCAGGACAAGAACAAAUACAGUACCCCAAAGUACCGUUUUGUUGUUCGAUUUACAAACAAGGAUAUCACUGCACAAAUUGUGUCUGCUACCAUUGCUGGUGAUAUUGUUCUUGCUUCGGCAUAUGCUCAUGAGCUUCCCCGCUAUGGUCUUGAAAUAGGCCUUACAAACUAUGCUGCAGCUUAUUGCACUGGACUCCUGUUGGCCCGUCGAACCCUUCAAAAGCUUGAGAUGGAUGAGGAGUAUGAGGGGAAUGUUGAGGCUACUGGUGAGGAUUUUUCAGUGGAGCCUGCUGAGACUAGGAGGCCAUUCCGUGCUCUCCUUGAUGUUGGUCUUAUUAAGACCACAACAGGCAACCGUGUCUUUGGUGCCCUUAAGGGAGCUUUGGAUGGUGGUUUGGAUAUUCCUCACAGUGAGAAGAGGUUUGCUGGUUUUGAUAAGGAGAAGAAAGAGCUCGAUGCUGAGGUUCACCGCAAAUAUAUCUUUGGUGGACAUGUUGCUUCCUACAUGAAGACUUUGACUGAGGAUGAACCAGAGAAGUACCAAUCUCACUUUAGUGAGUAUAUCAAGCGAGGAAUAGAGGCUGAUGGACUUGAGGAACUCUACAAGAAGGUUCAUGCCGCCAUUCGUGCAGAUCCCAGCACAAAGAAAUCUGGGAAGCCAGAACCAAAGGAACACAAGCGGUACAACCUGAAGAAGCUUACCUAUGAUGAGAGAAAGAACAAGUUGAUUGCUCGCUUGCAAGCUCUCAACUCUGCGGCUGGAGAAGCUGACGAUGAUGAUGAGGACGAUGAGUGAAAGUGCGUUUCAUUAAGAGAAUCAUUUUCUUGAAAAUUUUGCUGCUUGUGUUAAUUAUUUCUAGUUAAAAUUUUUGGAUACUUUUCCAUAGGUCUAUUUUGGGUCAACUUUGUAAACCUGGAUGGAUUUUUAAACUUUAUUUUCUGUUGUAUGCAAGGAAUUAUUGUUUGCGGUGCUGUCGGUGUUGGUUGAGGAAUGAAACUUUCUCAAUUAAGUAAUGAAGUGUGUUUCCUACUAUCAUGUCUUUUUUCAA